This 238-nucleotide transfer-messenger RNA is filed under the name Acinetobacter radioresistens. Its description in RNAcentral is "partial transfer-messenger RNA". It matches the Rfam family "transfer-messenger RNA", at positions 1 to 249 of the family's 374-position model. From Rfam's summary of the family: Bacterial tmRNA, also known as 10Sa RNA or SsrA, is named for its dual tRNA and mRNA-like properties. Its role is to liberate the mRNA from a stalled ribosome. To accomplish this part of the tmRNA is used as a reading frame that ends in a translation stop signal. Lineage: Bacteria; Pseudomonadati; Pseudomonadota; Gammaproteobacteria; Moraxellales; Moraxellaceae. The record is from RNAcentral.
GGGGGUGUCUCUGGCUUCGACGCUGGUGAUGAAACUCAUAGAUGCAUGCCGAGAGCGCAUUUUCUCUCGUAAAUAAAAUUUGCAUUUAAAUAGUCGCAAACGACGAAACUUACGCUCUAGCUGCCUAAGGGCAGCUUGUCCGCUUCCUAGAAUACUUGUGGUCUGGGAACCCGACUGAAGCGCACGCACACAAGUCCGUAUAGAGUCAAGCCUCGGGGCUUUAUACCAAACUUAGAGG